GACGAACGCUGGCGGCGUGCCUAAUACAUGCAAGUCGAACGCUGAAGGAGGAGCUUGCUUCUCUGGAUGAGUUGCGAACGGGUGAGUAACGCGUAGGUAACCUGCCUGGUAGCGGGGGAUAACUAUUGGAAACGAUAGCUAAUACCGCAUAAGAGUAGAUGUCGCAUGACAUUUGCUUAAAAGGUGCAAUUGCAUCACUACCAGAUGGACCUGCGUUGUAUUAGCUAGUUGGUGUGGUAACGGCUCACCAAGGCAACGAUACAUAGCCGAACGGAGAGGGUGAGCAGCCGCACUGAGACGGUGACCGGGCACAGACGGCCACGGGAGGCAGCAGGAGGGAAUCUGCAGGAAGGGACGGAAGACUGACCGAGAAACGCCGAGGGAGUGAAGAAGGUUUUCGGAUCGGAAAGCUCUGUUGUAGGGGAAGAACGAGUGUGAGAGUGGAAAGUUCACACUGUGACGGUAUCUUACCAGAAAGGGACGGCUAACUACGUG
This 495-nucleotide ribosomal RNA is filed under the name uncultured bacterium. Its description in RNAcentral is "partial 16S ribosomal RNA". It matches the Rfam family "Bacterial small subunit ribosomal RNA", at positions 28 to 507 of the family's 1533-position model. The record is from RNAcentral.